Podarcis lilfordi (Lilford's wall lizard) is the source of this 75-nucleotide non-coding RNA. NCBI's taxonomy places the organism in Eukaryota, Metazoa, Chordata, Lepidosauria, Squamata, Lacertidae. The record is from the annotation of a GenBank genome assembly.
UCCUGGGGAUAGCUCAGUUGGUGGUGCACAAGACUCUUAAUCUCAGGGUUGUGGGUUUGAGCCCCAGGUUAGGCA